Molecule: long non-coding RNA, 240 nt
Organism: Paramacrobiotus metropolitanus
Lineage: Eukaryota; Metazoa; Tardigrada; Eutardigrada; Parachela; Macrobiotidae
Exons: 3
Source: RefSeq, a predicted model, not a curated record
CGCCAAAACUCUGUUUGCCUAAAAUGUCAUCGGUAAUGCCACCCUGUGACCAAUAUUGCUCUAAAUGUUUCCCCCAAGCCGGGACCGGCAAGCUCCCAUAAAGCCACAGAGUAUUCCGUGGAAUCCGGUACUGCCUGGGGUUUUUGUCCAUUUUGAAUCACCGACUGGGAUAUAUUCAGUCUGCAUACUCGGCGUCCAAUGGCGAUGACGUUAGUCAGCUGAAGGAAUUACAGGCGGCGG